CGAGGCAGCCAAUCACGCGCUGUGCGUCACUAAUGGCGCCGCUCCCGGGAGCUGAGCCCCGCGGCUGCGGCGGCUGCAGUGGAGGAGGCGGAGCCUGCGCUGGGCUGCGGAGGCCGAGCUUCCGCGAGCCGGGUUGUGAGCGGCGCCACGCUUGCGGGUCUCCUUAGCGGACGGCCGGCCUGCGAGCAGGGGCUUCUGUCGUCCAGGCCGAUACGCGCGAGAGACCGGGAGAGAAGCGGGCCGCGAGCCGGGUAGCGGCAGCCCUCGGCCCGGCGGGGGACGCUGUCCGAGCUCGAGGUUGCGGGGGAAGCGAGCGGACGCGGGGCUGGGCCGGGCCGGUGCGGAGCGGACCCCGGGGCCUCGCUGUUGGCGAGAUCCGAGAGGGGCCCCUGCUGUCUUCGCUGCUUCCCCUUGGCAUCCGGGAUUUCCGAGGAGCAGUUUUUACUUUUUUUUUUUUUUUGGUACGGGGGAUUGAACUCCGGUCCUUGCGCUUGCACAGCAGGCGGCCAAACCACAGAGCUAAAUCCCCGGCCCCCGAGGAGCAGUUUUUAUAAACUGACGUCCCUCGUUGCCCCUUAGGGCUGUGCACUCAAUCGAGCCACAAGGUGCAGGUUUUCAGAUUUGGAUUCGCAGUACCGGCCCAGGGCCCUUGAUUCGUGUGCCUGUCGUUCCAGGGUAAUUAAUCUUCGCUUGAGUGUGGUUGCCACGAACCCCUUUGGCAGUCCGCUAAGGCAGUGGCGUUUAAACGCAGCGUUCAGAGCGGCAUUUUUUUAAACGAGUAGAAUGAAAUCUGUAGAAUUACAAAGGAAAUUUUGCUGAAGUAGUUAAAUCAAAAAUAUUAAAACCAGUUUUGUUAUAUUGCGUUAGCUGUGUAUAUGUGUAUAUGUGUGCUGCCUUUUGCAUUAAAGGAACUAGUGCCAAGUCUAAUAAACUACCAUAAUUUCAAAAUAGUGAAGUGAGCAUAAAUGAUGUUUUCAGAUGUGUGUAACAACUGCACGGAUAAACUGAUUUUUACUGGUGACAGCGUAACAUUGCUAAUACUACCACGGUUAAUGCCUACAUCUGUAAUUAAGGGGAACAUUUAAAUCGAAAGGUUGAUGAAAAUAAAGAUGUAAUUUUUUCCAACACAGGUUUUUCAACCACUUGGUUUCUAUCCAUGGACUCCAAGUUAAGAAUGUCUGGUAAAGAAUCUCUGUAUAUGUCAGUUUUCAAAGCACAAGAUUUGGAAGAUCCAGGAUUUUCAAACACUACUCUAAUGGCCAUGCAGUGGUUUUUCUGCUGCUUCCUUGACCAUUUCUUUAUUUCACAAGGUCACAGAUGCAUGUUCUCUAUAGUGGAGAGGAAAAGUAGAAAUGUUAAUGUUUUCCUUCUUAUUCCCAGCUGCACUUACAUUGCCCCAGAAGAGAACUUUAAAUUACUUGUACAGGAAGAAGAGAAUGAUGAACUCAGAAGACAUUCAGUACAGAGCCUAUAAUGACAGACUGGUAUUUUCAAAUGAACCAUCUUCCAGUUCUUUCAUUUUAUACCAGAGGAAACAAAUAGAUGAACUGACUGCUACUGGUAGUGGAACAGGUUAUUGAGGAAGGCCUAGAUCCCCGUUUUCCUGGUCUGUCUCCAGUUUUUUUCUGAUGAUUCCCCACCCAAUGACUAGAUAGGAAAUGAGCUGCUCAAGAUGAAACUUAGUGGCAGCAUUUUUACUAGACUCCUGUAACAGUAUUCUUUAGAUUAAUACAUUUUGCUUCAUAGAACUAAAGGUUUUAGAAAAUUAUGUAUCUCUUUGUACAGUUGUAAGAUGACACCUAAAUUUGUCAUCUUAAAUUUAGGACAUUAUGAAGGACAAAAAUUUGGGCAUAUUAUAAAUAUCAGCAUUCUUUAAUGAAACAUCAUCCAUUUAAUUAUAUUCACUUGAAUGUAACUUUGAUACCUACUAUCAUUUAUGAAAUACCUGAAAAUUUUUUUAAAAGACAAUUUACGUCACUUUCUUCUUUCAUUUCCAUUGUACACCGAAUAUGAUUCUAAUAUGAUCUACAUAUUGGUCACUUAACCAUUUUUUGCAACAAAAGUAUGUCUACUAAUGUUUUAAGUUUUAAAAUUUCCUGGGAUCAAUUCUUUUGGAAUGUUACCUUUCCAUUACAAAGCAGAAAAAAAUGACAUGAAUGAAUCUUAAACUUUGAUUAAAAAGUACAGAAUAUGGACUGGGGAUAUAGCUCAGUGGUAGAGCACUUGCCUAGGGUGUGGAAGGUCCUGUGUUCAAUCCCAGCACGGCAAAAUAAAUUAAUAAAUGUAUGUAGAUAUAUAGAUUUAUGGAGAAAGAAUAAGAAAGUUGUAUUGAAAAUGCAACUUUAAAAAGAUGCCUGGUAUGUCAUAUUUCCACUAAUGACAGGACUGCUGUAGUCACCACGAGACAGUUUCCAAGUCUACUUUGUAAAACCGUCAGAUGACAACCUUUUAGGGAGCAAAACUAGCAUAUAGAAGUGUUCUGUAACUUGCCUCCUCAAAGGUGACGUGCUCAAGAUUCAGAAGCACAGCCACUCACUCCUAUUUUAUGAACUACUCACGACGAAUGUCAUCCUUUGCCUAAAUUGGAGAAAAGGUGGAUUUAAUGAGACAAAUGAGAAAUUUAACCUAAUAGUAAAGACUCAGACUAAAAUAUUAUAUAUGUAUUCAUGUGUGUGUGCGUGCACACACACGCACAGACUGUACUUUAAAAAUCUCUGUACCCUGCAAUAGACAGCACAGCUUCCCUACUGUGUUUAUCCACUCUCGGGACAGCCUGGUAAGUUGGCCAUGGGGCCUCUAGGGUAGAUUGCUACAGACUGUGAGAAACGUCACCCAUUUUGUUCGGUGUGCCAUGCAAAUAUUCUCAUUUUCUACAGAUACAAUGAUGUAGGAAAGAUUGGGAAACCCUAAUCCCAGGGAAAUCCAUUUUUGGAAAAAUCCAAAUAAAGGCUAGUGGUAAUAGAUUUUUAGUAUAUGCCAGAGAACAUGAGAUCCCCACUUAAUCAUGGCUUGGUUUCCCAGACAAUCCUUACUCAGGUUGCGGUGGUUUCAGUUACCUACAGUCAACUGCCGUCCAAAAAUACUAAAAAGAAGAGUAGAAAUGAACAAUUCACAGGUUUCCAAUUGCAUGCCAUUCUGAGGAAACCUUACAAAAUUUCUUCAUCCUGGUCCAUCCGCCUGAGCUAUGAAUCAUCCCUUUGUCCAGUGUCUCCACACUGUAUACUCAGCCUCCCCGUUAGUCACUUAGUAGCAGUCUCAGUUAUCAACCUAGUAUUAUCUUUAUUUUCAGGCACCUAGUAAGGGUCUUGGAAUGUACCUUCCGCAGAUAAGAGGGGACCACUGUAACUAUAAACUAGUAUUUAGGAGUUGAGGUGUAUCAUAGCUGAUAACUUUCUCUGACCUGAGACACUUUACUAAUAGGAAAUCAUAGAGCUGUACAGAAUAAUUAGGAAAGCUGGGAGAAAAUUAUUAAAAAUUAAGAUUGUGAAGUCCAUAGAUUGAUAAGGCAGUGGUAGAUGGCCCUCUGUGUCCAGCCCUGUGUAGAUGUUGGUGUUCAGGAGCCGUGGAGAACUGGCUUGGAGAGUCUAGAAAUCUGAAGUUCCUGGCUCUGCUUGGCUUAUGAUUUUGGACAAAAGAAUUCUUCUUGGCCUCAGUUUCCUUGUUUAUAUGGAAAGAAGCUAAUGGAGAGCCUUCUAUUUUAGUGUUGAACAUUUUAUUGUCUUAAAAGCUUUACAUUUGUAAUUCAUUGAGAUACAGGCGUACCGUACUGAACCAAGCAGUUACUCUUUACUGCUUAUCUACUGCCUUGGAGAUUGUGGCACUUUGCUAUUUUCUGUUAAGCACUUCAUGAUUUUAUAGUCUUGAUCUUGGACUGGUAAAAUUGUGCAUCAUCUUCUUCCUGGAGGAUGCUGAGAGCAGAGUGGCAAAACUGAUGAUUCUCAUCAAGUGAUAGAGCCUCAGUUCUAUUGAUCCUGCCAAGUUCUUCAAUCAGAAGACACAGGCUGUCCCCAGACAGUUUCUGUGCAAUCUGGAGGACAUAAGAGAUGACGCUGAAGAUGAUCUGAACAAUUUUAACAUGGGGACUGUGAGCAGAAUCACCGUUGGCUCCAGAAUGGGACAAGCUACAGCCGUUGGUUCACAUUGGACCUACUGAGAAGUGGUGACGUGUUGAAUCUCAAGUACUGUAUUUGGUGGAGAUAAGCCUCAGUCAGCAGUGAAAAUUGUACUUCACUUCUCCCAUCUGUGGGGCCAGAGCUGCAAUCUGUCCCAUCCCCUGAUAACUGACCAGCUCUACUGGAACCAGAGGUUCACCUCUCGUCGAAGCUGGGCAGAACAGUAAAUCUGUUGGCAUCCAAAAGAUAUCGGAGCCUGUAUAUUUAAACACAUCAGCAGGGGCUUCAAUCUGGAUCCGGGUGAAGAAGCAGGCACUAACUGUGGCAGGGGACUGCGAUAGGGCAAAUCAGGAGCUUCUGUCGUCUUGGGCUGAGAGCUGCUGCUGGUCUUCUGGUUCUCUAGAGUGCAGAUGGCCACAGUGGACCCUCCCACCUCCCAUCCUGUAAGUCAGCUUCACAAAUUCCCUGCAUAACUGUACACAUGUUUUCCAUUGAUUCUGUUCCCUCGAGAACCCUAACCCAUGCCAGUUGUAAUCAACAUCUACAGUGAUUGUAAAUUUUUCCUCUUUCUCACUGUGUGUGAAAUAUGUGAAGGCAAAGCCUGUCUUUACUCAAUUUGGUGUCCAUUAUCACAGCUACAAUUUGUGGCAUUCAGUAAGUCUACUGAGGAAACAAAGUAAAAGAAGGCACAAAUAACUUUUUAAACUCAGUUGUCUGUUUAAACAUGUCUAUGGCUGCUUUUGAAAUAUGUACAUGUUAAAUAGUACCAGAAAUUAUUUGUCAUAUAUGUUUACAUAUAUUUAGGAAUGAAACAUUGGCAUAAACAUGAACACCUUCUCAAGUACAAGCAUGUGCUUUACCAUUAUAUUUUCUUUAUUUAUUUUUGUAGUACUGGAAAAUAAACCCAGGG
Non-coding RNA from Heterocephalus glaber (naked mole-rat), 5022 nucleotides. The record is from RefSeq and is a predicted model, not a curated record. Lineage: Eukaryota; Metazoa; Chordata; Mammalia; Rodentia; Bathyergidae.